GGUCUGUUUUUAUUGAGGUCUCCUUCCCGUUUUGCUACAUUCCAGAAAAUUUAUAAGGAACUGCAAAGUUACAAAGUGACUUAUGAGCCGUUCACUGUGUCCUUACAUUCUGGCCCUUUUUUGUUCCUCAGCUUCUUUACCUGGCUCACAAACGGUUUAUUAAUUAUUUGUUCUAUAUUUUAACAGGGAUGUUUUUCCUUUAGAGACUCAGUGUUCUCUCAGUAACUCAGAAUCAAGAGUGAAGAGGAAGCAAGGAAUGAAGAAUUCAGAGGCAGUAACUCUCAUGGGUGUGCUUGGACUUCUCUGAGUUGGACUGGGACCAGUUGAGCCUGUUCAGAGGAAACUGUGGAGAGGCGUGGUGCUGGAGAAUUAGAGGAACUUGGUCUUAGUGGGUAUGGGCAACUUCUCACCCCUGAAAUCCACCAGGUGGCAUGACUGCUCCUUAAAAUUGCUAAAAACUGUGGAAUUCAUAAAAUACUUCAAAGUGUGGGCUUCAGCUUCAAGAGAUAUACUUUUUCUCUGCUUCUUCAAGCACAAGGAUAAAAUGUUUCUGGUCUUUUGACCAACAUUAGACUUUAGAGUUAUGAAUGGGCAUUUCUCCCAGUGUGGAUCCAACAAACUACUGAUGAAAAUUGCAUCUGUACUGAACAUGCCAGUUUUCUUUUCCUUUCUUCUUCUUCUUCUUCAUCUUUUUUCCACCCAUUUUCUUAACAAUACAGUGUAACAUUUUUUUUCCCAUCUUUAGAGACGUUGAAGAUACCGGAGCCUGAGACUGAAUUUUUGAAAUCUGUUUGUUUACAGCACAGUCACUCAAUUUCUUUGCCUUUCUCAAUGACCAAGGAGUCAGACCUUCAAACCAGGCAUGACCUUUAAACUGGAGUAAGAUUGAUGGAUGAAAAUCAAGAGCUGAGCCUGGCUGGUCUUAAAUUUCUGGGCUCAAGAAAUCCUCCUAACUCAGCCUCCUGAGUAGCCACAACUUCAGGCAUGUGGCACUAAGACCAGCUCUGAACUUCAUCUUGACAUGUAAAUAUUUGGUUUUCUGGACUGGAUUGCCAGCUUCUUCAAGUUUGAACUCAACAUAUCUUCAAUUAAUAAACACCUGCUGA
Long non-coding RNA from Marmota monax (woodchuck), 1106 nucleotides. RefSeq lists it as uncharacterized. Lineage: Eukaryota; Metazoa; Chordata; Mammalia; Rodentia; Sciuridae. The transcript is spliced from 3 exons. The record is from RefSeq and is a predicted model, not a curated record.